UGACAUUUAAACUAGGUUAACUGUAGGAUGUUGAUAUUUAAACUAGGUUAACUGUAGGAUGUUGACAUUUAAACUAGGUUAACUGUAGGAUGUUGACAUUUAAACUAGGCUAAUUGCAACCUUCUCCUUCCAUCAUUUUUAUUUAAGUCAGUAUACUCUGUUUGUUUUGGUGGUAAAGAUUUUAACACUUUUGUUGAGUUUUUAUUAAAGAAAUAUGACAGGACCACUAUUAGUGCAUCCGUCUGACCUUAGUAUACGGUAGAGCUUUGCUACGGAUCUAGCAUGAUCCAAACUCCUCCUAUUCAGUUGGGGUGGUCACUCACUCUUACAAAAUAUAUGCUUUUAGACUAUUCUGUUGUCAACCAAUUGAAUGGACUCAUUUUGAUUUUGACUUAAGACACUUCCUGUUUGUUCAUUGUACAGUGAUGUUACACAUAGCUCGGCCUGUUCAGAAUUGUAGCUAGUUGUCUUCAUCUGUUCGGUCUACUUAUAUAGCCAUGCCGUAUAUUUACAUGUAUUUCCCAGUCAGCUGUUGUGGUAAGCUAUGCUGAUUGAUUUUAUUUAUUGUCUCAGAGGUGAAUUUCUGUGUGUACAGCUGCUUGUUUUCAAACAUUAUUUUACUUGAACCAAAC
This 632-nucleotide long non-coding RNA is filed under the name Salmo salar (Atlantic salmon). RNAcentral describes it as "lncRNA (ENSSSAG00000103630.1)". Lineage: Eukaryota; Metazoa; Chordata; Actinopteri; Salmoniformes; Salmonidae. The record is from RNAcentral.